UGAAGCGACCCAGUAUUUUGUAAGCAGUGGGGUGACAAAGCCUCGCUUUGAAGCCGGCUGGGAUCUGCCCUCUUAGAGCUGUAGCCUAGGACCCUGGGCAAGAAACCAUCCCGUGGGGCCUCAGUUUCUCAUCAGUGAAGUGGGCAUAAUACUUAGCUCACAGGGCUCUUUCAAGGUUAAAAGAGACGAUAUCCUAUCGAGCGCAGGGUAAGUCCGCAAUGCCUUUCCUCCUUUCGUUCUCCUCUGCCCGAAGAUUGCUGACUGCUUUCCAGGCUCCGCGGAGCCUGUCCCAAGUUUCUGCCUCCUCUUCCCGGCCGCCGCCCCUCCCCACCCAAGCGCCGAGCGCUAGUCUCGGGCUGGUUACUUACUGCGAGGCGGGCACAUGCUGAGCGGCGCUGCGGGGGCACCGAACCGAGCGGGCAGCUGGACGCAGACGGGUGCACGCGGCAGGAACCACAAACCCUAGACUCUAUAGAAGGAAACCUUCAUCAGAUUUCUUGAUGAACAAAGUCUAUAGAACCAGGCAAGCUUCCUGCUGAAGAGACAGGACAGUCAUAAUGCUGAGAGAUGGAGAAUUUGAUCGUGUUUUUUUAAGCUGAAGGGAAGGUGCCCAGGAGAGGAAGAGAUUAAUGGUUCAGGAGAAAAAUGGGAUGCCUGAUGGCGCAGAAGUCAUUGGAUCAAACCCACAGUUGGUUUUUUUGUGUGUUUUUUCUUUUUUUGUGUGGACGUGUUUGUUGUUGCAAUGGCUUAAAGCAGAGAUAACAAGUCUAUUACAAAAGAAAGUGCAUGACUAUCAUGGUUUGCAGAUGAUAUGUUUACCGUUCUAAAACAGAGAUUCUCAGCCCUUUUCCACACAUGGCCCUUGAAGAAAAUGACAGUAUCUAUAAGAUAUAUUGGAGUAAGCCAUAGGGGAUUUGCAGGCAAUUAUCUGUGGCUUGGUGAAAAAAUUUUAGUGUGUUUUUAUAUUAUAUAGUUAUGGUAAUAAAAAUAAAACAUAAUGUAUUACAAAAGAUAUUCAAUAUUGAAUUUAUAUAAAACUUCCAUGUAAAAUAUUCUCAGAUUAUUUACCUAGAUACUUAGGUUUACUUCUCUGGAUGUAACUUUAAUAUAAGAUUAUAUGCCUAAAUCUUUAAUAUGAGAUUAAUAUAAGAUUAUAUAAGGGGUCAUCAGCAUUUCUUGGUGUUGACUUUUUAAUGAUCAUCUCUUGCUAGUCAACACGAAUGAGAAACUUUGUUCAUAUAAAUUGCUAAUUUAGAAUAUUUAAUUUAAUUUAAAAAAUUUAUAAUAGUUGCCAGGAAAAUCUAACAGUUUUUUCAUUCUUUUUUCUUUUUUUUUAACAUCUUUAUUGGAGUAUAAUUGCUUUACAAUGGUGUGUUAGUUUCUGCUUUAUAGACAGAUGUGAUAUUGGAAUUUGUGAUGAUGCAAAUAGAUUUUUCAAAACAAUAUAGCUUUUUCAUAUCAUGUACUUCAAAGUAGUGACGAAGCUCUAAUGUGAGGAAAAGACAGGUGUUAUUAGAGCAGUCACCUUGCAAGUAGCUUGAAUGUCACUAAGAGAAUCCAUCAGCACAAAUACGUGGCAGCAUCUCCUGUGUCACGACCAAGAUUCCAAGCUGCCACCUGUGAAGUGCCUGCCCUGAGCCCCCUUGGGCUGUGAUCUGGGCACCAUGGGCACCUGGUACCCAAACCCCUCCAGCAGUUCCAUGGUCCUAGGGCCACAAGGCAGAGAUGUGCUCUGCAGCUGGCACAGAGGGGGCAUCCUGGCUGGAGGGCACCCUUGAGCUUGCUUAACAGGUUGCCGCAAAGCGAGGUGUGCGGGAUGUGGCCGGUUCUGCUCAUUGCUAAUAGUGAUCUCACACAAUCAGAGCUCCUCUGCUUAGGGCUCUCUCUCGAGCCUCCAAGGAGCUUCUUGAAUGUAGGUGAUUAGUUACAAGUGGCCGCACCAGACCCUGCCUGACUGCUGGGCAGUCAGUGUCUUAUAGAGCACCCGAGUCCCCCUCUCGGCACAGCAGUGGACCGCAUGCAGCGUACCAACUGGAAAGCUCCCGUCUGGAAAGCCAAAGGAAGAAAGUAUUGACAUGAAUAAAAGAGUGAGAAGAAUGACUUAAUAUAUGAAAGAUACAUGCAUAUAUGUUAAGAUAAAUAUCUGAAAAUUACCGGAUUUUCUAUUUACUAACUAUAAUGAGUGAGGAAACAUAACAGAAAAAAAGAUUGCACUCCCAAUAGCAACAAAAGAGAUGAAAUACCUAGGAAUACCUUAACAAGAAAUAUGAGAGAUUUAUAUGAAUAAAUGACAAGAUUUUACUACAAAGUAUAAAAGAAGACUUCAGUAAAUAGAACCAUACCGUGUUCUUGGAUGGGAGAACUGAAUAUUAUAAAGAUGUCAAUUUCCUACCAAAUUAAUUUAUAGUUAUAACUCCAAUCAAAAUCCCAAUAGAGUUAUUUCUGGAAUAUGACAAAAUCAUUCUAAAGUGCAGCUAGAGGACAACCAGCAAAAGUAACUCAUACAUUUUUUAAAAUAAAUUUAUUUAUUUUAUUUAUCUAUGUUUGGCUGUGUUUGGCUGUGUUGCUGUGUGUGGGCUUUUCUCUAGUUGCAGCGAGCAGGGACUACUCUUCGUUGCAAUGAGCGUGCUUCUCGUUGCGGUGGCUUCUCUUGUUGGGGAGCGCGGGCUCUAGGUGCGCGGGCUCAGUAGGUGUGGCACGUGGGCAACUAAUACACUUUGAGAAAAAAAAAUGUGGAUGGUGGAGAGGGAUUCGUUUUCCCAGAAAGUAAAAGACAACAGAAAGGAACAAUAAUGUUUUCAGUUUAUUUCUACUGCUAGUAUAGUUUAGGGAAACAGAAUAGAUAGGCCAGAAAUAGCCCAUAGAAUAUAUAUGAUGAUGAUAAAGAUGGUACACAGCACAGGACGGAAGUGGGGGAUUCUCCAAUGAAUGGUCCUAGAUAUUUAUUGGUGGGGGUAGGAGGAAGGAUUGGAGGGAAAGUGUAGCUAAGUGUGUGUUUCUGUGCACGGGUCUUCAACUAGAGUCCCACAUCCCACUUCUCUCCCAAGCCGUCACUUUCUAUUCCCUAGGGUAGGAGGAGGAAAACACCUCACUGAUGAGUUUAGAAGAAAUAGAGUGUGAGUGGCUCAGACCCGAUCUCUCUUGGAUCUGCUGGGCUGCAGAGAAGCUGAGUGCUGUUCUGCCCUCUGCUCUGUGGCCCCUUAUUGAGGAAGUUCCUGUUUCUGCCCUUUGGGGAUUCACUGUGGUCUAGCAGGGCCUGGGUGCAGGUGGCCCAGACAGCUUAAUCCAGGGGUGAGGUGUAUUAACAGACUAUUUUGGCGGUUUAAUCUUAAAUUACAUAUUCUAAUCAGCUUUAUCCAGAAAUAAAGGAGACCACAUCGGCCUGCAUUGUCUUUUUCUCUUAAUUGGUUUCUAACUCAUGAAGGGGAAAGGAUAUUAUUUGUUGGUCCAGUUAAAACUCCAAAACUGGACCAAGUGGUUGGCUAGUUGGGGAAAAAAUUUAUAUCAUAAUGCAUGCCAGUAUAUGAAGAAUAACUUUUAUAAAUGUCAAACUAUUAAAAAUUAAAACUGGAAGACAAUUUCAAAUUUCUGGAUCAGAGAAGACUCUCCAAGGUUAGAAACAAAUGCAAAGACCCCAAAGGCAAAGAUACAUAGCUCUAACAAGAUUUAAAAACAGUGUGUACAUAUAAAGAAGCAAAAGAGAACAAAAAGAAUAAAACGACAAUUAUCAAGCUGGAAAAUUAUUUCUAGUAAACAUUACACAAAAUUACUGCCAUAAAUUUCUCAAGUAAACAGAUAAAAUGACCAAGAACAUGAAUACCUCAACAGAUGAAUGGGGAAAAUAUUUAAUAGACAAUUCACAAAAAGAAAAGUACAUAUAGUUAAUGAAUAUGUGAAAAAUGUCAUAUUCACAAAUGUCCAAAGAGAUGCAGUUAAAAUGAAACAUUCUUUGUCUAUCCAGUUGGAAAAAAAUGAUAAAACAAGAAUGCUAGUACUGGUGAGGGUAUAAUGAAAUGAUCACCGUGACUGGUAGGAACAUAAAUCAGUACCAUUUUUCUGAAAAGAAAUUUGGCAACAUUUAUCAUGAGUCUUAAAAUGCUUAUACCUUUUGACUCCAAUAAAUCUAGGAAUCUACCAUAAGGAAUUUGCAGAAAUGCAAAAUAAAGAUUUAUGUGCCUAGGUUUUUAUGAUAAAAUAAAUGGAAUAAUAUGUGUAUGUCCAACACUAGUAAAGGCAAGUACAUUAUCAUAUAUUAGAAUAUGACAUGGCCAUCAAAAUUAAGCUACAAAAAGCUUUAAAAUCAUCUAAGAACAUUAAAAAAAUCAACAACAACAAACUUAUAACCCUCUCUGUUAAAACAAAAUGAUCUAAGGCAGCUUGUGAGUAGAUUUAAAGUUCAGCAAGAUUGCCUAGGUUAGAAGUAGGUGAGGGAAAGAGGCCAACAAGAAUAGAGAAAAAAUAAGAGCUGGAAAGAACCUGUUACAAAAAUGAAAACAAUUGCUCAAGCCUGAACAUUGGCUAUGGUUGGGCCACAAGUCUGACUCUUUGCAAAUUCGAAAAGGAAAGAUGUCUUAGAACAUCACAGUGUGGAAUUUGCUAGGGAAGCAACGUGAGAUACAUACAAAGAUUGUUAGGCACGAUUAAAGGCACAUAUGAGGUUCAGCAAUAUGAUUUUUGUGGUGGAUCCACUUGGCAGACAUCUGUGAUUUUCUCCAGCAGCUCUCAGCAGCCUGAAAAUAGCAGAAGCCACAGCAUGAGAGGCUGAGAAAAUGGGUGUUGGGUAAAUUCAAGUUUGGAAGUCGACACAAUCAAGGUGGGAGAAAACCAGGGUGGUAAAAGUAUCUAGGGUGCUGGUUUGAGGAAUCAUUUAUUCUCUCAGCAAGACUUAUACUUUUUGACACAUACUGUGUACCAGGCACUGUCCUAGUUAUUCUUGGAUACAUCAGUGAACAAUAACUAAGAUCCCUAAAUGUGAGAGUGGGGUGGGGAGGGGCCACAGCAUAAGGAAUAAUCACAAUAAUGUGUGUAAUGAGGAGCAAAAGAAAUGAUUGUGCAGGGUGGAGGGAAUUGGGAGUGUGGACCAGGAGUGGGUGAGGAUGUGUGGCUGGGCAGUGAGACUUCAAGGAAGUGAGUCAGGAAAUACCUGGACCACCGGGAUCUAGAACGGGCAGUGAAGGAGGAGAGGUGACGCAAGGACCUGGGUCUUAGAUGGGGAGAGUGAGAGGGUCUGGGCACAGUUCGUGCGGGAAAGAAAGAGCAAUCAGGAAGCUGUCCCAAGAGUGGGGAAUUCCUGAGCUUGGAAACUUAGAGAUUCACAACUUUUAUCUUAAACUCACUCCCUUUCCUCACAGAAUUAUUUUAAGAUUUUCCAGUUACACAUGUCCCCAGAGGUGCAGCCUUUUCCCUGCCUUGAUUUCAGAGCAAGUGCUGUGUGGGCAGAGUGAAAAUUAGGAUUUUAUAGGAGAAAACGCCUUGAUAAAAAAAUUUUUAAAAGGACUGAGUGACUCACACCUUCCAAAGUGCCUUCUUUAGAGGUUUCAAAAUAAAGGUAGGAUUGUAGGGCACACAAUUGUACAAACAAGCUGAUCACAACUUUGUCAGAUAACAGCACAGUCCAAAAUCAUAUGCAUAGAAAGAAAAGAAAAGGAGGAUGGAAGAAAACACCAAAAUAUCCACUGUGGCUGGCUGUCUUUGGGGUGGGACUACCUAAGCUCUUUUCUUCCUUUGUUUCUUCUUGUUUUACUUUUAUAAUGGUUGAAGAAUCUUUUACUUAAACAUAGGCUAGGUUUUUUCCCCUCAGUUUUAAAUAUAGACCUGCUAGAAAGGAAGAGAAUGCAAUGGACAAAGGAUACAAGAGAUAAUUAACCUAGGAAAUAAAGAUAGUAAAGGUAGUAUGAAAAGAUAGGCUACAUCACUAGGAACCACAGAAAUGAAAAUUGAGCCUUUUAAAAUUUAUUUAUUUUUUUGCUCAUUACAUUGGCAAAUAAAAAAAAGAUUCAUCAGGUGGAACUGGAAAAAAACGGAGGCAAAGAAAUCAUCAAGGAAAUGGUUCAACAAAAUUUCCUAGAACUAAAGGAAAUAAAGCUGAGUGACCAUCAACAUAGAUGAAAAUAGACUCAAGUCAACACAUAGUCUCAAGACAUUUCACAGCACAGAGGACACGGGUAAGAUCUUACAAGUUUCUACAGGGGAAAGAAAACAGCCUGUGCAAAAGAGAGUCAUGAAUCAGAAUAGUUCUGGAUUUUUCAACAGCAAAACUGGGAACUAAAAGAAAGUAGAGAAAUGUCCUCAAAAAUAUCAGAAGCAAAAUGAUUUCCAGCCUGUAAUUUUAUACCCACCAAACUAUCAAUCAAAUGAAGAUAAGACAGAGACAUUGUCAAGAUCUCAUAAAUUUACCUCUGAUCCACUCCUUUUUAGGGAGGUGACUGGAGGGUGUGCACCACAGAAACUAAGGAGUAAACCAAGAAAGAAAACUGCUGAAAGAAGAGACAGGGAAAGAGAACAUCUAGGUUGAUGUUAAAGAAAGACCCCCAAAUGGCAGCCAGCCCAGAUCAGAACAAGUCAGAAGUUUCCGAAAGAAAAUUCCUCAGGAAUAUGAUCUGAUAGAUAGCCAAUGUCUCCAAACAUCUUGAGAGGAAUUUAGAGGAUUAAUGGAGAAUUUGCAGUCAAAUUGCUAGGAAGUACAUUGAAAAAUAAGCAAAUAAAAAUAGGUAAUUGUUAAUUUUAGGGGAUACACAAAGUUGUAGAGGAAAGGGAAUAUAAAUCAUAGUACAACUUCUGACUCAGUUUGAAUAAAGUCCAAAUAGUCAUCAGAAUGUAAACACUGACUAUCUCUCUAAUCAGAGUUGUGAUGUGACUCUGAUGGGAGGAUGGGGGACUAGGAAGGGGCAUUAUAUGGUGCGGAGAAGAAAGCUAAAUCCUUUUCUUUCAUAGAAAAAAGUUUAAAAAAGGAUGCAUAGGGCUUCCCUGGUGGCGCAGUGGUUGGGAGUCCGCCUGCCGAUGCAGGGGACGCGGGUUCGUGCCCCGGUCCGGGAGGAUCCCGCGUGCCGCGGAGCAGCUGGGCCUGUUGGCCGUGGCCGCUGGGCCUGCGCGUCCGGAGCCUGUGCUCUGCAGCGGGAGGGGCCACAGCAGUGAGAGGCUCGCGUGCCGCAAAAAAA
Long non-coding RNA from Orcinus orca (killer whale), 7157 nucleotides. RefSeq lists it as uncharacterized. The record is from RefSeq and is a predicted model, not a curated record. The transcript is spliced from 3 exons. NCBI's taxonomy places the organism in Eukaryota, Metazoa, Chordata, Mammalia, Artiodactyla, Delphinidae.